RNAcentral lists this long non-coding RNA (3104 nucleotides) under Gallus gallus (chicken). The record is from RNAcentral. Lineage: Eukaryota; Metazoa; Chordata; Aves; Galliformes; Phasianidae.
AUAGGGAUAUUAAUGGCUUACUGCUCUUACCACAGUGUUGUGAAGUGUGCACUGACAGAAGUGGGCUUGCAUGUGAGCUUCUUUCCCAACACACUGUGCAGAAGCUAAACUUCACUCCUGGUUUAGGAUGACAUUAAGAAUAUGCUUUUUUGAUUUUGCCUCCCAGCUCCAGCUCAUUGGUAAUGCUGGAAAUAUGCUUCAAGUUUGCUUUGAUUUUCAGCGUACUUUUUUUGCUGUUACUCAGCAAUGGCACACAAAGGGGGCAUAACGCUUUUUACCUUUAAGCACCAAGACAUAGCCAACCCUUCUGGAAAUUGGAUUUUUAACUGCCACGUUUCUUAUGGUUUACCAAAAAAAGCAUAACGUAGUUUGAUAAAGAAGAAAGAUGACUACAAUAAAACUCAAAGAUCAUUUUCAAGCUUAUAGAAUCAAAUACAGAAAUAUUAUUUUAAAAGCUCUCAGGAAACAAAUAUGACUCUCUCUUUAAAAAACACCUCCAAAUGAACCAAUAUCUAUUCUUUGAUGAACUAUCAGCAUCUGAGAUCUAAAUCUAGAAGUUUGUUUAGGGGAUUUUAGGAAACUACUAAGGAAUCUACAUCAGAUGGAAGAAAAAUAAAUCCCUCAAACUCCAGCAAAAACUUCAAACACAGCCAUUACGCAGUCCUGACUAUAAAGAAUCACAUGCCAUGGGUAUGGAUCACAUGAGGGUAGUAAAUAAUACCCUGACAGCAUGCGGAUAAAGUAUUUCCAUAACAACAAGUCAAAAGUUGAGAUUCAAGUUUCAAAAAUUGAAAGACUGGUAGUGGGGAUGAAUGCAGUUAGGCAUUAAAUCUGUGAUAUUACCAGGUGUUCUCACCUACAUCUAUCCAUCCUUGGGACUCUCUGGCUGCUUCUCAGCUAAAAAUACAGCCUUCACAUAUGCGAAGGGCCAAACAUGCCAUUAUGCAGAUAACUGCUGUGUGCUUUGAGGUGCAACUCAGUCUCAAGAUCACACCAUCUUUUACUCCAUUCUGUAUUCAGCUAAGACACACUUCCUCCUAGCCCAACUCAGGUACAACUAAGGCCUCCAUGUUUUUCUUUCAAAGCAAAAAGAUUGUAUUACAAAGAUUAAGAUGCAACUGGACCCAACCUGGAUGGCUCUGUCUUGCCUAACUGCUACAAAACAGUCAUUGCCUGUGUGUCUGCAUAUGCGCAUUGCGGCUUGCAGUCUACAGCAUGCAGCACUUAUCUCUAGGGCCUGAUUGUGUUGAUAGAUCUGAAUUGUUUAUGGCACAUUCCCAGAAGGUGCCUGCUGCUUGAAAGCUUAUUUUAAUGCUCAGUUUCUUUCUAUACAAUCCACUCCAACUGUGUUGUCAGGGCAGCGGCAAGAGCGGCCUUCUGGCGUAGCCAAGCAGAGGUGAGUACAACCACCAUUAUUCACUGUACAGUAGUUAUGUCCUCCUGGGCACUGAGCAAAAGCUGUAGUGAUUCCAUAGAGACGGGAGCGCUUGUGAGGUUGGAAGUUAUCAUUUUCUACUGAAAUCAUGCGAUCCACAGCUACAACAGCAUCCCUUCUCCAGUCUGUGUAGUACAAAUUCUUCCCAUAGCUUGUAACACCAAAAGGAUACUGAAUUCCUUCAACAAUCUUUCGUCGACCAAGCUGAUUAGGGUUCAUGCAUUCCAGUCUCUUGGUACCUGCAUCUACCCAACACAACAUUGAGGAGUAAGGAUCAAAUGUCAGCCCAUUUGGUAAUCCCAGAUCAUCCUUCACAAGAAUUCUUCUGUUUGUGCCAUCCAUGUAUGAAGUUUCAAUUUUAGGAGCUUCUCUGUUCCAGUCAGUCCAGUACAAGUUUCCUCUCACAGGAUCCACAACAAUUGCACGGGGGUUCACCAGGCCAGUGUCAAAAAGGAUGCGACGCUGGCGCCCAUCCAGUCUAGCCACUUCUAUUCUAUCAAGUUGAGAGUCAGUCCAGAAGAUGUUGCGACCUAGAUGAUCUAGAGCUAUCCCUUCAGGGCUUCCCAGGUCUGUUCUGAUGAUGGUCGUUGGCUCCCCACCAUGCAGGCUAGCUCUACUGAUGGACGGACCGCUGAUGUCUGUCCAGUAAACCAUCUUGUCCAUGCAGUCAUAAGCAACUCCAAUAAUAACUUUGUCUGGAAUAUGCAAGAGUGCUUUUGCACCAUUUUUCUUCAUGUUGUUUCCCUCCAGUGGAACAUGUUCAAUUUUCCCACUUUGGGCAAAAAGCAAAUGUGUUCCUGGAGGCAGUGGUAUUGUGUCUGGUCGAACAGAGGGCCCAAUACCAACAGGAGGAGCAGCUGUGCUCAGACAUGGUGGUCGAACUCCAGGGCCACUUCUGGUGCCGUCAAUCUCAUUUCCAUCUCUAUCCACACACCAACAAUAUCCAGUGCUGCCGUGGCACUGAGUGGGUACGUAAUUUCCAUGUUCAUCACACUGGGGAAUGAACUGACCAACUCUUAUUUCUCUUUGGAAGAAAGUGCCUCCACUUCCAAGAGCUACUUCUUUCUCGUGCUGGCAUUUGGUCUUUACCACUCCUCCUAACACACACUGGAAACCAUCCCCACGAUAACCUGCCUUACACUGGCAGCUGAAGGAUCCGGGUGUGUUGUAGCAGAAAGCAUCUGGAUGACAGUGGCCCUGCUGACAUUCAUCUAUAUCCUCACAGGCACGCCCAUCUCCAGAGAAGCCAGGGAGGCAUGUGCAGAUGUAGGCAGACCCACCCGUGUACACGCACUGAGCCACGCUGAGGGAUGUCGCAGCCAUGUGUGCCUGUCUGGCAGUGGUUUAUGGCAUAUUCAACAGCAACACAAGUCCGCCCGUCUGCUGCAAACUGGUAUCCGUCAACACACUCGCAUCGGUACGUUCCCGGCUGGUUAUUGCAAACUGCAUUGCUGCCACAUAGACCCGGUUGCUCUGAACACUCAUCAAUAUCAUAACAAACGUUUCCAUCUCCACGGAAUCCAAUCGAACAUUCACAAGAGAAACGAUUCCCAGUUCCUGCACGACAUACUGCAUUGGUGUCACAGUUAUGGGUACCAGUGUAGCAAGGAUUCCGGCUAAUAUCAGCAGAACCAUCUGAAAAGAAAUACCGUAUUUAGCCAUGACAACU